This is a non-coding RNA of Pristis pectinata (smalltooth sawfish), 82 nucleotides long. NCBI's taxonomy places the organism in Eukaryota, Metazoa, Chordata, Chondrichthyes, Rhinopristiformes, Pristidae. The record is from the annotation of a RefSeq genome assembly.
UUAGUUGUGGCUGAGUGGUUAAAGCGAUGGACUAAAAAUCCAUUAGGGUCUCACUGCGCAGGUUCGAAUCCUGCUAACUACG